RNAcentral lists this ribosomal RNA (1545 nucleotides) under Triticum aestivum (bread wheat). Its description in RNAcentral is "partial small subunit ribosomal RNA". Lineage: Eukaryota; Viridiplantae; Streptophyta; Magnoliopsida; Poales; Poaceae. The record is from RNAcentral.
AUGGACGGGGCCGCCCACGUCGCCGGCGACUCGGCGGAGGCCGACAGGGCCUCCUCCUCGGCGUCGUCUACGGGCUCGGCCUCCCGGCGCUCCCGGCCGCACAGGGGGAUUCACCUGCGGCGGCGCCGGCGGCCGUUGUCCGUUCGGAGAGGAGAGGGCGGCGAAGGCGACGGCGGCAAGGGCGGCGGCGACGGCGUGCAGGACCUCGCGCUGCCGCUGGGGAUGUCCUUCGCGGCGGUUCUCGCCCAGGUUCUGAAUAAAAGCGGCGGUUCUGGAAGCAGAUUGCAACCUGAUUUUCUUUCAAAGAUGUGUACCUCAGCAGUGAAGGAGUCCUUAACAAAUAUAUAUGGAGACAGGUUUGAUAGUUUCAUGGGAAACUUUGAGAAAUCAUUUGGCAGUACACUGAGGACCCUUCAUCUACUCAAUGAGGCACCUGCCUGUGAGCAAGAUAUCCCUUGUUCUCACGGUGAUGGUAAUCCUGUGGUUGAGACCAAAUUGAGUGGCGCUGACUCACAAGGCCCGAUACCUGAUGUCCAGCAGAAUCCACACUUGAAUUCCAUGAAUAAGCAGAUUAUUCUUCACACGGAUGUCAAUCAGCAGCUGAUUCAGCUACCUCGUAGCAGAUCUAGUCCAGAAUGUGAUCAGGACAUCCUUAAUGUAUUUGAGAGAUCUCUGAAUGAGCAAGUUCGUUCAAAUGAGCUCAAGGAACUUGAAAUAGGGCUUAAUAUGAGGAAGUUGCAACUAAAGCAAUCUCAUUUAGCUCUCAGCUCCUAUUCACACAUGUUAGAGAAGAUCAAGAUCUCUAUGGGAUUUCAGAAAGCUGCUUUCAGAGAGGAGAAAUUAAAGACUCAAAUGCAGGACACGAGACAUGCUGAACUCCUCAGGAGGCUUAUAGAUAUGCUUCUGACAGCAGUAGUUUUUAUGUCUGCCUGUUUCGGAUAUGGAACAUAUAUUUAUUCGUACCAGCGGAUAACCGCUGUUACUGCAGCCUGUGCAGCUGCUUCAAAGGAGUCCAAAUCUUGGUGGAUGCCAAAUUCUGUAUCAGCUUUCAACUCAGGAUUGCUGUUUUUUAGAUGUCACUUGAUUGCAGCAACAAGGAUAUCAUUCGGCAUGCUGAUGAUUUUAUUGAUUGGUUGGUUGAUAUUCCAGCGUUCCGCAAUGACUGGACCCAACAUGCCAAUAACAUUCAAUCUUGUGUUAUUGGGAGGUGUUUGUGGUUUUGUUGGAAGGUUCUGUGUUGACACACUGGGUGGGGAUGGAAAUGUUUGGCUCGUAUUCUGGGAAAUCCUUUGCGCCAUCCAUUUACUUGGAAACAGCUAUCCAUCUCUUCUAUACCGUGGUCUUUAUGGCCCUAUUUCUGUGACGCACAAACCCAAGGCUCUCGGUUUGCCGUAUUGGGUUCGCCGGUACAUAUUCUAUGCUGUGCUGUCCUUGAUCCUUCCAUGCUUGGCUGGUUUGUUGCCGUUUGCAUCUCUAUCAGACUGGAGCGAACACGCAGUUGAAUAUAUGAAGUCCAGAUUCACUGGAAAUGACAUUGAGACUUGA